CCGGCACGGGUGAGUAACACGUAUGCAAUCCACCUGUAACAGGGGGAUAACCCGGAGAAAUCCGGACUAAUACCCCAUAAUAUGGGCGCUCCGCAUGGAGAGCCCAUUAAAGAGAGCAACUUUGGUUACAGACGAGCAUGCGCUCCAUUAGCCAGUUGGCGGGGUAACGGCCCACCAAAGCGACGAUGGAUAGGGGUUCUGAGAGGAAGGUCCCCCACAUUGGAACUGAGACACGGUCCAA
Molecule: ribosomal RNA, 241 nt
Filed under: uncultured bacterium
Lineage: Bacteria
Description: partial 16S ribosomal RNA
Rfam family: Bacterial small subunit ribosomal RNA
Source: RNAcentral